GUGCAAAUCCUAACCAAAACGAAAUUCGAGCUUAGAAUUGUGAUCCUCAUCGCAAGAGGAUUAAGAGGCAAAGAGUCCGGAUCAUCAAGCGGACAAGCCGGAGGGAAUUCACGGGGAAAAGGCGUGCUCUAAAGUUUUCAGGUUUUCUAGCAGAAGGGUGAUGAUCAAGCAUAUGCAUCUGAACCGAACACUCUAACAAACGCUUCCG
Helianthus annuus (common sunflower) is the source of this 208-nucleotide long non-coding RNA. RefSeq lists it as uncharacterized. The record is from RefSeq and is a predicted model, not a curated record. Lineage: Eukaryota; Viridiplantae; Streptophyta; Magnoliopsida; Asterales; Asteraceae. The transcript has 3 exons.